Molecule: ribosomal RNA, 253 nt
Filed under: uncultured bacterium
Lineage: Bacteria
Description: partial 16S ribosomal RNA
Rfam family: Bacterial small subunit ribosomal RNA
Source: RNAcentral
UACGUAGGGUCCAAGCGUUGUCCGGAUUUACUGGGCGUAAAGAGCGCGUAGGCGGUCUGUUAAGUGUAGAGUGAAAUCUCCAGGGCUCAACCCGGAAACUGCUCUGCAUACUGGCAGACUUGAGGGAUGCAGAGGUUUGUGGAAUUCCUGGUGUAACGGUGAAAUGCGUAGAUAUCAGGAGGAACACUGUGGUGUAGACGGCUUUCUGGACCAUAGCUGACGCUGAGACACGAAAGCGUGGGUAGCAAACAGG